CUACCAGGGUAUCUAAUCCCGUUUGCUCCCCUAGCUUUCGCGCCUCAGCGUCAGAAAAGGUCCAGUGCGCCGCUUUCGCCGCCGGCGUUCCUUCUGAUAUCAACGCAUUUCACCGCUCCACCAGAAGUUCCGCGCACCCCUACCUUCCUCCAGCCCGCCGGUAUCGAAGGCACUUCCACGGUUAAGCCGUGGGAUUUCACCCCCGACCUCGCGAGCCGCCUACGCGCCCUUUAAGCCCAGUGAUUCCGAACAACGUUCGCACGGUUCGUCUUACCGCGGCUGCUGGCAC
Molecule: ribosomal RNA, 289 nt
Filed under: uncultured Planctomycetota bacterium
Lineage: Bacteria; Pseudomonadati; Planctomycetota
Description: uncultured planctomycete partial 16S ribosomal RNA
Source: RNAcentral